CUAACAUAAAUGUCAUACCUGGGUGAUUAUAUACCACUGCUAGAAUGUUAUGAACUUUAUCCAAUGAAGAGACAGAACAAGGAAGGAAGUAUUGGAUUUCAGUCAGCUACAGGAUGCUCCCCAACUCAACUUUUACCUGAAAGGUCAAGGCGAAAUGUUACUGACUUUAACAGCCACAGAAUGGGCUCCAGGCUCGAGAUCCAGUGUCGUUGGGCCAGCCAUUCUUUUUCAGCACUUGGAAAGAGGCAAUGGCAAAUCAUGUCUGGAAAAACAUCAAAGAUUUGUUCAGAGAGUUCUCAGGAUUCAACAUUGACUUAAAGGCACAUACACCCCACACAAAAAUCAGUUUCCACAAAAAUUUGGAAAAAUGGUUAUUUAGAGAUGAUUUUCAUUCUUCUUUUUUUUCUUCUACAGAAAAAUAAUAGCAAUUCUAAAUCUAUUGCA
This is a long non-coding RNA of Pantherophis guttatus, 444 nucleotides long. RefSeq lists it as uncharacterized. Lineage: Eukaryota; Metazoa; Chordata; Lepidosauria; Squamata; Colubridae. The record is from RefSeq and is a predicted model, not a curated record.